This is a long non-coding RNA of Pseudopipra pipra, 475 nucleotides long. RefSeq lists it as uncharacterized. Lineage: Eukaryota; Metazoa; Chordata; Aves; Passeriformes; Pipridae. The transcript is spliced from 2 exons. The record is from RefSeq and is a predicted model, not a curated record.
CCUGGGGAAAGGGAGGAGCCCAAUCCCAGAAGGUAUAAAGGCUCUGGGAGCAGCAGCACCUGGUUUGUAUCUCUGACUUAAAAUCAGGAUGGGUAAAGAGCCUGAUGGAGAAAAGGAGUCUUAAUGAGAACAGUCUACAGGUGCAGAGUUCGACCUGGCUGUUAUUUGUGGACUCUGGAGUCUUUCCUCAGGCCACCCAGCUGCUUUGCAGUCUUGAGCUGGCACCUCCACUGUGCAGGACUUGUGCCAUUUAGGCGAGCACCAGCAUAUCCCGCCCACCUUCCCCCUCUCACCCUGGAACCAGAGGUGCUGACAUAGGACCAUGGCACGACAGAGAGGCUAUUCCUAUGUAAUUCACCAUUGCACACAGACCAGAAAAUAGGUUCAAAGUGUAUGCAACAUUUUAUUGAAAAAAUAUGAAUGUUCUGUACAUAAAGUACAACUUAAUGGGCUUAAUAAAAUCUCGAGAGACUUA